Molecule: microRNA precursor, 50 nt
Filed under: Schistosoma curassoni
Lineage: Eukaryota; Metazoa; Platyhelminthes; Trematoda; Strigeidida; Schistosomatidae
Description: mir-3492 microRNA precursor family
Rfam family: mir-3492 microRNA precursor family
Source: Rfam by way of RNAcentral
AGCCUUCUGCAUCCGUGCUGAGAUCUCGUCACACACCAGACCACAGGGGC